AUGGCCGCCGGCAGCUUGGCAAUGUCCGCACUACUCGCAGCGCUGCUGGCCUGCGUUCGGGUGGCCGUCAUCGCCGGUGGGACCGGCUCACCGUGCUUCGGGGAUAUCUGCGCCAUGGGCACCUGCAAGGAGCUGCAGGUGAUCAUCCCGUUUACCAACAUCUCUCCCUACGAGUGCGAGUGCAACCCCGGGUGGUCUUGGCCCAACGUCACCUUGCCGUUGUCAUCGGCAUUGCCAUUGCCGCCACACCUAUUUCUGUCAUGCACCAUCCCCACAUGUGUAUCGACACCGGAAUUCACCUGCUACAAGCCCAAGCUGCCAAAUGCCGCCAACACAACCCUACUUGACCCCUGCUCAUACAACGAUUGUGGCUCGGAAGGCACGUGCGUGAGGGAAGAGGACCUCCGGUUCCGGUGCCAGUGCAACCCCGGCGCAACCAAUGUGAAAAGCAAACCUUACAUGCCUUGCAUCAAGAACUGUGCCAUCGACGACAAGGGCUGCCCAGUUUCCUCUUCAACGGCGCCACCUGGCUCUGUUUCUUUGAAGAACCGGCUGCGGCUGUCGCUGCUGCUGGCCUCGCUUGCGGCGCUUCACGCUGUGACUGUGUGA
RNAcentral lists this ribosomal RNA (609 nucleotides) under Triticum aestivum (bread wheat). RNAcentral describes it as "partial small subunit ribosomal RNA". Lineage: Eukaryota; Viridiplantae; Streptophyta; Magnoliopsida; Poales; Poaceae. The record is from RNAcentral.